Molecule: ribosomal RNA, 1650 nt
Filed under: Monoicomyces invisibilis
Lineage: Eukaryota; Fungi; Ascomycota; Laboulbeniomycetes; Laboulbeniales; Laboulbeniaceae
Description: SSU rRNA
Rfam family: Eukaryotic small subunit ribosomal RNA
Source: RNAcentral
CGUUUAUUUGAUAUAUCAUUACUACUUGGAUAACCGUGGUAAUUCUAGAGCUAAUACAUGCUAAAAAUUCCGACUUUUGGAGGAAUGUAUUUAUUAGAUAUCAAACCAAUACUUUUUUAAAGUUUCAGGUGAUUCAUAAUAACUUAUCGCAGCGCAUAGCUUUUGCUAGCGCGAGAUCAUUCAAAUACCUGCCCUAUCAAGUUUAGAUGUGAGGGUAGKGUCCUCMCAUGCUUUUGACGGGUAACGGGGAAUUAGGGUUCGACUCCGGAGAGGGAGCCUGAGAAACGGCUACCACAUCCAAGGAAGGCAGCAGGCGCGCAAAUUACCCAAUCCCGACACGGGGAGGUAGUGACAAGAAAUACCGAUACAGGGCUCAUAAGGGCCUUGUAAUUGGAAUGAGUACAAUUUAAACCUAUUAACGAGGAACCACUAGAGGGCAAGUCUGGUGCCAGCAGCCGCGGUAAUUCCAGCUCUAGUAGCAUACAUUAAAAUUGUUGCAGUUAAAACGCCCGUAGUUGAAGUUUGGAUUUGGUUAUUUAGUCCGCCUCACCGCGUGUACUAAUAUGACUAGAUCUUUCUUUCUAAAAUUGCAUUUGUCAUUUAUGAUGAAUGUUUUAUUUUUAGGAUUUUUACUUUGAAAAAAUUAGAGUGUUCAAAGCAGGCAUUUGCUCGGAUACUACAGCAUGGAAUAAUGAAAUAUGACUAGUGGUUGUAUUUUGUUGGUUUGGAUGACCGCUGUAAUGAUGAUAGGGAUAGUCGGGGGCAUCGGUAUUUGUUUGUCAGAGGUGAAAUUCUUGGAUUAAACAAAGACCAACUGUUGCGAAAGCAUUUGCCAAGGAUGUUUUCAUUAAUCAAGAACGAAAGUUGGGGGCUCGAAGACGAUCAGAUACCGUCCUAGUCUCAACCAUAAACGAUGCCGACCAGGGAUCGGCGGAUGUUGCUUUUAGGACUCCGCCGGCACCUUAUGAGAAAUCAAAGUCUUUGGGUUCCGGGGGGAGUAUGGUCGCAAGGCUGAAACUUAAAGGAAUUGACGGAAGGGCACCACCAGGAGUGGAGCCUGCGGCUUAAUUUGACUCAACACGGGGAAACUYACCAGGUCCAGACAUAGUAAGGAUUGACAGAUUGAGAGCUCUUUCUUGAUUCUAUGGGUGGUGGUGCAUGGCCGUCUUAGUGGUGGAGUGAUUUGUCUGCUUAAUUGCGAUAMCGAACGAGACCUUAACUUGCUAAAUAGCCUGAUUAGCUUUGGCUGAUUUUUGGCUUCUUAGAGGGACAUUCGGCUCAAGCCGAUGGAAGUUUGAGGCAAUAACAGGUCUGUUAUGCCCUUAGAUGUUCUGGGCCGCACGCGCGCUACACUGACAAAGCCACUGGGUAUUUUUUCCUUAUCUGAAAAGAUUGGGUAAUCUUAGAAACUUUGUCGUGCUGGGGAUAGGGCAUUGUAAUUAUUGCCCUUCAACGAGGAAUGCCUAGUAAGCGUGUGUCAUCAGCACACGUUGAUUACGUCCCUGCCCUUUGUACACACCGCCCGUCGCUACUACCGAUUGGAUGGUUUAGUGAGAACUCCGGACUGAUUAAAGAAAAUGGCAACAUUUUCUUAGUGUUGGAAAGCUGUUCAAACUCGGUCAUCUAGAGGAAGUAAAAGUCGACAUGACC